Molecule: long non-coding RNA, 847 nt
Organism: Oryzias melastigma (Indian medaka)
Lineage: Eukaryota; Metazoa; Chordata; Actinopteri; Beloniformes; Adrianichthyidae
Exons: 6
Source: RefSeq, a predicted model, not a curated record
GGCUGGCCUGGAGGCGGGGCUUAUGGAGUCUCGCGGGCCUCGGUCUCGAACUCUCGGCCUCGCUAAGCUAAGCAGCUAAAGGUAAUGGACCGUUUUUCUUGAUAUUUCUUCCACAUUCUGGAUCUGAAGCGUCGGACUUUGGUCAAAGAUAAAGUGUCUGUCCUGGAUUUGAAGCCGUUUUGUUGCUGCUGCGUUUAAGGACCGUCAAAAAAACCUGGCAGGUACCUGCAGUAGAAGGGGCGGGAUACACAGAGUCUUUACCAGCGAUCAAAGAACUAAGAUCCUCAGUUCAGACGGCCAGAGGGGCCCACCUCGCAGCCUGGUGUGCCCCAGGAGACGUGCCAUGACCGGGACAAGAGAAGGGUCGCGGGGUGCCAGAGCCUAACCCGGCUACUGAUGGGCGAAGGCGAGGCUCACCCUGGACAGCAUUGUUCUAGAGCUCUCUGGUUACUGCUAAAAGGGCGAAGGAAAGGCCAGAGAGAAAAGGAGGGAAGGGAACCAUGAGGGAGGACAAAGAGACCACUUAAAAUUCCCAAAAGGAGACUCUCUCUUCUUUCUCAGUCGAGCAUCAGAUAAUAUCUGUUUAAGAGACAUUUUUCGCUUCACUUCUUUCAACUUUGCAGACCAGACAACGUGUUUCACCCCCCAGAGAGCAGUUUGAUGUUUGAGAUGAUGCAAAAAAAAAGUUAAAGUUUAGAGCUCAUUCGCAUUUUCCACUGACUGUAACUUCACAUUUAAUUGAGGAAGUUGUAGUAAAGUGUGGUUUGUGUGGACAGUGAUGCUCAAUGUCUAUAAAGCAUGAGUCAUUUGUACAUCUAGAGCCAAUAUCAAAGCAGUCUUUUCACCA